UGAGGAAUAUUGGUCAAUGGGCGAGAGCCUGAACCAGCCAAGUCGCGUGAAGGAAGACUGCCCGCAAGGGUUGUAAACUUCUUUUGUAUGGGAUUAAAGUCACCUACGUGUAGGUGUUUGCAGUUACCAUACGAAUAAGCAUCGGCUAACUCCGUGCCAGCAGCCGCGGUAAUACGGAGGAUGCGAGCGUUAUCCGGAAUUAUUGGGUUUAAAGGGAGCGUAGGCUGUUUGUUAAGCGUGUUGUGAAAUGUAGGAGCUCAACUUUUAGAUUGCAGCGCGAACUGGCAGACUUGAGUGCGCACAACGUAGGCGGAAUUCAUGGUGUAGCGGUGAAAUGCUUAGAUAUCAUGACGAACUCCGAUUGCGAAGGCAGCUUACGGGAGCGCAACUGACGCUAAAGCUCGAAGGUGCGGGUAUCGAACAGG
RNAcentral lists this ribosomal RNA (425 nucleotides) under Verrucomicrobiota bacterium. Its description in RNAcentral is "Verrucomicrobia bacterium partial 16S ribosomal RNA". It matches the Rfam family "Bacterial small subunit ribosomal RNA", at positions 355 to 776 of the family's 1533-position model. Lineage: Bacteria; Pseudomonadati; Verrucomicrobiota. The record is from RNAcentral.